Eriocheir sinensis (Chinese mitten crab) is the source of this 4524-nucleotide long non-coding RNA. RefSeq lists it as uncharacterized. The record is from RefSeq and is a predicted model, not a curated record. The transcript is spliced from 2 exons. Lineage: Eukaryota; Metazoa; Arthropoda; Malacostraca; Decapoda; Varunidae.
UUGGUUAUAAAGUAAUCAUGAGUUGAAAUGUCAUGUGAGUGGGGCGGUGGCGCGAGGGCCGGCGUGGACUGCCAGGGGUCGCCACAUGCCCGGCGCCCCGCAGCACCGCAGCACCGCCGCCUGGCCGCCCUGCAGCUCGGACCCCUGCCCUCAGGAGGUCACGCGCUGCCCCUCAGCACAGCGGUGCCCCCGUAGCCAGGCCGACACGCGGCCUUCGUGGGGCAGGCUGCGAGGCCCCUCGGGGAGCACCAGCUGUGGUGGGCACAGGUUGCCCGUGACGUCACUGCCUUCAGGCGGCCGCUAGGUGUGGGCAGCUGCUCGGGCCGCUACACCUGCCGCUCGAGACAACAGGUGUGCUGCGGGGCAGGCCCCUCGUGGCCCAGCUUAUAAGGUGUUCAGCGUCAAGUGUAUCGUUCUUCCUAUGGGUGAGUUGUGUGUAUGAGAGAGAGAGAGAGAGAGAGAGAGAGAGAGAGAGAGAGAGAGAGAGAGAGAGAGUGUGUGUGUGUGUGUGUGUGUGUGUGUGUAGGCCAGGGGGGUGGGGGCGUGGAGACGUGUGGCAACCCAGGGCGGGGCCGCAGGUGAGCGUGUCCCGCGGCUGGCCGGCUCACUCCGCCGCGGACCACUCUAGCGGUUGCCGCCGCGCCGCUCACCGCCACCGUCCUCCCGGGCAGUGCAAAGACCCCGCCCGCGUCUCCACACCGCCCCCACACGCCCACGCCGCCGUCAUCAGUGGCCGCCCACGGUCCUCGAGGGAGCCAGCCAAGGCCCUGCAGGUGCAGUCCUCCACACUUCUACCACCACAUCAGCACUACCGCAGUCAGUCUGCACCACAAACUGCACCACUUCCCUUCACCACUAGCCCCUCGCACCACCACCCUCACCAUCUCCUGAAACCCUCUAGUUUAGUCGGGACGGAAGAUUGAGAGCACCGGCCAGGCAGACCUCGCGUCGCCCAGCCGUCCCGACGCCCCCCGCCGCGCCGUGGUGUCGCGGUGCCCCGCUGUCCUCGCCUCUCUUGGAGGUCCACAGACUGAACCCGUCUGGCCCCCGCGGCAACCCUUCACUUGAUUGGUCGUACCCACGCCUGACGCGGACUUACUGUUUCAGUCCCAAAAUUUAAUCCGUUCAGUGUGCAUUGCGGCGAGACCUCAGGCCCACGGGUAAAUAUUUGUAGACUGUCUGUUUACAGGGAGUGUAGUGGCAAGGGUGAGGGCCAGGCGGGACGGGGCGGGGCGGGGUGUCUGCCGUGGUGGCGCCGCCCGUCCGCCCUCCUGGGCCAGCAGCCGCCUCACCAGCGGCUCUGCGGCACGAUAUCGCGUGCUCCGCCGACACCUGCUCGAGUUUUGUGACAGUAAGGAUUGAUUUAUGGAUCCCUGGCCAGCCGAGGCGGAGCCGGGCGGCGAGGCAGGCGGGGAGGGGGCCAGCUCGGUCCUUUCGGACAAACUUCAUGCGAUUGGCACCUUCCGCGGCCCUGACAUGCACUCGGUCACUGGGGGCGGCGGGAGUCGGGGGCGCACAAACACGGUCGCCGCGUGACCCAGUUCCGGAAAGUUGAGUGAGGCUAACGCCAUCCUGCGCCACGUGUUGUGGAGGCACCCUGCCGAGGGGCAGCCCCUGCGUUCUGCACCACCACCCCGCCCCUCGCCAGGCGCCCCAUGCCUCAAGAAGUCCCUUGGGGCGCAGGACUUGGUCUUCUGCCCCCGAGACCCCCAGCGGCCAGCAGGUGUGCGGGUGUAGCGAAGGUAGGUAGUGCCGGCACACCUUGUAGGGCGGGGCGCUGACCUGCAUGCUCUCUCUCUCUCUCUCUCUCUCUCUCUCUCUCUCUCUCAUGAAAAUUAACUGUGAAUUUCAUAACCAUAAGUAGUUUACGAACAAAUCACUCAUCACAAUUGCAAGUUGAGACACUAAAUUAUGUGCAUGUACAAUAUAGUCUGUGUGUGCGUGUGUGUGUGUGUGUUUAAUUAUGAUUAAAUUAUAGUUCGUGGUAGCCAUGCACGCAAAUUGGAUCAAGCUUUUGUGAAAUGAAUGGAGGGACUUUUCAUCGGAUAGAGGGCAGAGGGUCGGGCAAAAAGAGGAGUUAGGCUUCAAACUCCCAUACAACCUGUACAGUGUACACCAUCGGGGGAAGGGGGGAGUUCAAAGUCAACUAUUUAUUCACAUGUACAGAGAGUAAAAUAAUACAAAAUCAGAGACCAUUAUUCUGGCAUCAAUAUAUACAUACAUACAAAUGCGAUCUAUAGAACACUGAUUUUGCUUGAUAGGUUCUGCAUAAAUACUGCAUGAAUGACGCCAUGUAAUGUUGGUGUGUGUGUGUGUGUGUGUGUGUGUGUGAUGGUGGUAGCGACAGAAAGGACAGAGGGCGAGAGAGGCUGUUAGUGUGUUUGUUCGUUCGUUAGGUCAUUAGAGGCAGGUGUGUGGGUCGUUAGUGGCAGAUGUAUAAGUGGUUAGUGGCAGGUGUGUGGGUCGUUAGUGGCAGAUGUGUAAGUGGUCAGUGGCAGGUGUGUGGGUCGUUAGUGGCAGAUGUGUAAGUGGUCAGUGGCAGGUGUGUGGGUCGUUAGUGGCUGGUGUGUGGGUCGUUAGAUUGGUGUAAGUUUGUAAGUCGUUGGUGCCACAUUUACCAGGUAGUCUAUAGGCAGGUGUGCAGGUCAGUAAGUGCCAGAUGUGUAAGUGUGUCGGACCAUCAUUGUCAGGUGUGUAGGUGUGCGGGUCAGAAGGUGUCAGGUGUCUAUAGGUGUGUAGUGCAAGCAGCGUCGCCAUCAAUACCAGUUGCAGAGGUCAUUAGGAGUAGCAAUAUGCCCCCACCCCCCUCCUUUAGUUCAGAGAGAGAGAGAGAGAGAGAGAGAGAGAGAGAGAGAGAGAGAGAGGGGGGGGGAAGAAAAAGACUUGCAGUAAAAUCUUAUAUUGUCACAGCAUCUAGUUUUUAAGGUUUUCAUUUAGGGGAAAGAUUAAAGAAGAGAGAGAGAGAGAGAGAGAGAGAGAGAGAGAGAGAGAGAGAGAGAGAGAGAGAGAGAGAGAGAGAGAGAGAGAAGAAAAAGACUUACAGUAAAAUCUUAUAUUGUCACAGCAUCUAGUUUUUAAGGUUUUCAUUUAGGGCAAAGUUAAAGAAGAGAGAGAGAGAGAGAGAGAGAGAGAGAGAGAGAGAGAGAGAGAGAGAGAGAGAGAGAGAGAGAGAGAGAGAGAGAGAGAGAGAGAGAGAGAGAGAGAGAGAGAGAGAGAGGGAAGGAAAAGACUUACAGUAAAAUCAUAAAUUGUCACGGCAUCUAGUUUUAAGAUUUUCAUAUUGGACAAAAAUCAAAAACAACAUCACUUUUCCCCUUCGCUCCUCUAUAAAGUACAAACGUAAUGGGCAGCAGUUUCCACGCGGCGGUCGGCAGCAGCUCCAAGGAGGGACGUGACAUUCUGCCUGAGCGCCGCAUGAACUGCCCGACGCCUCGAGUUCAUAAGAAAGUACCGAGUCAGGGGUAAAGACAAACUACUAGACUAAAACAGUGAAUUUGCACCCCGAAUAUCGUGUUUAAGAGGCGUGUUUUCAUUUAGGUCUCACGAAGCGGGAAAGAACUGCUAGGAAGAGAGAAUAGAAUAAAGUUAUCAGCUACAGAAUUCUCUUUUUUUCUAUACGUCGGACGUGGGCGUGGAGUAUACGAGGAAAGGGAGGGGGGCGUCAUCCAUGGACAAACAGGGAACGAAGAGGAGGCGCAGCUAGGAAAAUAAAAUAAAAAGCUCCAGCACCAGCGGGCGGCGAGCAAGAGGCAGGGGACGAGAGUGGACGCCAGAAAAAAAAAUCUAUCAGCCACAUAUUUUCUUUUUAAGUUAGGCGUGUGCGUGAGAGGAUUAAGGCGAACGACAGCGUCAAAAUUUUUAACUCCUUCCAUCCCGCGACGCACCCGUGGCCACCGUGGCUCCAGCCUCGCCUUUACCUAACCGUCGAGCAGAAGGCAGCGACAGGUCACUGGACACCUGUAGGGGCGGGGGGCUGAGGGGCCGGGGAGCAGGAGGAGGCUUGAGAGGCGGGGACAGCCAGGCGGCGGCACCGGGCAGGGCUAGCUCGCAUGUUGAAUCACCAAGCUUCGGCUCCAAGGCGCUGGCUGACCGACCCACAAGUUAUCCAAACAUAAAUAAAUAAAAUGUUGAAUAAAUAAAUAAAAAUGAAUAAUGUGCGCCACUCCCUCGAUGGCUGUUACCAACUCCCUCAGAAAAGCUAUUUAGCUCCCUAAACAGGCAGCCACUGUUGCCACUGACAAACUGAAACUUGUUUUGCGCCCUUUUAUUAGCUACUAAUGUGUGAAAGGCCGCCGUCGUCAGCAGCCCUUCUGCCGAGCGAUCAUUGCAGUGCGCUCUUUGCUGCCGCUCAGAAACAGCAGUGUACCCUCAUUGUAACCAGGAGCUGAAGCCGUAACGGUUUGGGUGGCUACACUUGUUGGUCGGUCCUAUAAUAAAUAAUAUAUAGUAUACGUAUGUAUGAGAGAGAGAGAGAGAGAGAGAGAGAGAGAGAGAGAGAGAGAGAGAGAGAGAGAGAGAGAGAGA